Molecule: long non-coding RNA, 1235 nt
Organism: Notolabrus celidotus (New Zealand spotty)
Lineage: Eukaryota; Metazoa; Chordata; Actinopteri; Labriformes; Labridae
Exons: 4
Source: RefSeq, a predicted model, not a curated record
AAGAGGCGUUUGUGGAGGGGAAUGGUCAGCAGCAAGAGAGACCUCCCAAAGAUCUCCGAGCAAGGUAGACGAGGAGGGACUGGAGCUUGCAGUUUGCCGGCAUGGAGUGCUACUUGCUGCUCUCAACAUGUACAGGGGCGAGAUUUCUGCAUAUCCUCUAUUCCUGCAAGAAAGGCUGGCCAGCAGACAAGCCACAUUUUUCUGCAUGGAUGUAACAUGUAAAUAUUGGCCAUACCUGCAAAAAGUAACAUAAAGCUGUCCAGAGCUCCAGCCCCUCCUCAACAUGAGGCCUUUCCUCUCAGUCUUUCAUGCAAAGGCUCAUUUGUUGGUUUGCUUAUGUGCAGAGGUGUCUCUUUGUGUAUUCUUCACCAGGAGAAAUAGAGCGGGGCAUAUCAGGAUGGUGCUGGUCUGACUUUAGGAGAGGAGGUAGAGCAGUGUAAUGCCUUCCUCUCCAGGAUUGCGGUGACCACCAAACAUAUGUCAAAAGCAGGUAAGAUGACACUGUUUAGGGAACAAGGAUUACUUCAUAAGUUCUAUGUUUGCAGGACAUGCAGACAUGCUGACCCUGAUGGCCAUGAGAUGGAAUCAACAAAAGUUUGAUAACUUGGCCACAGCACUCUGCCGAUAUCUGAAGACUGCCAAAUCUCUGGCAACAUAAUUUCAGGACUUAGAGGUCAUGAAAGCCCAUCUCACAGUGUCAGAGACCCAAAUGGAAGAGUGGGUCAGUGAUGUGAGAGAGUGGGCAAAAGUCCUCAUAAGACAUCGGACAUUCUGUCUCAUGGAAAGACAGCAGCAGAGAGGACUCCCCAUCUUUGUCCGGGAUGAUUCCACAACAUUUUCCCUCCAACGUUCAGACACUGAACCUAAAGACAGGGCUCUCAGCUGAGUGUCUGUUGCCAUCCUCACCAUCAUUGAAGAUGAUGAUGACGCGCCGAAUGUUAAAACUUCAGUAGAAGAACAUGCAGUCAUUUCAAGCAUUUAAGUCCCUUUUGUGAAAUCCUGUAAACAUCUGUUAAUCUGUGAGAUGCCAGUUAAAGAGGCUUUUGAAGAUGAAUGCAGUUUGGAUCUUUUUUUUUUCACUGUCAAGAGUGUUAUAAUAUGACAGCAUGUUUGAUUCUACUUGAGGCCAGAUCUCAGUGUUUAUAUUGACAUUUAAAUGUCACAAGGAAUAAAAAGUGUUCUGCUUAAUUUCAGAUGUGCUUUUUUGAUUUGUUUAUAGAAAGCAUUCCUUAAAU